Molecule: ribosomal RNA, 2296 nt
Filed under: Tuxedo drakei
Lineage: Eukaryota; Metazoa; Arthropoda; Insecta; Hemiptera; Miridae
Description: eukaryotic LSU rRNA
Rfam family: Eukaryotic large subunit ribosomal RNA
Source: RNAcentral
UAAUUUAGGCAUAUUAGUAAGCGGAGGAAGAACUAACAAGGAUUCCCUUAGUAGCUGCGAGCGAACAGGGAAAAGCCCAGCACUGAAUCCCGGAGGCAUCGCCUCCUGGGAAAUGUGGUGUUUGGGAGGGUUCAUAUACCCGGUACCGUCGCACCGCGUCCAAGUCCAUCUUGAAAGAGGCCACGGUCCCGAGAGGGUGCCAGGCCCGUGGUAGGCCGGUGCAGGUUCUGGGUGAACCUCUCCUUAGAGUCAGGUUGCUUGAGAGUGCAGCCCUAAGUGGGUGGUAAACUCCAUCUAAGGCUAAAUACAACCACGAGACCGAUAGCGAACAAGUACCGUGAGGGAAAGUUGAAAAGAACUUUGAAGAGAGAGUUCAAGAGUACGUGAAACCGCUCAGGGGUAAACGGAAAAGACCCGAAAUUUCCGAAAAGGGAGAUUCACGUCUUCUCGCGGGUUCAACGCACCUGCUCCUCUUUGACGAUCCUGCCCCCGUUCGGACUCGUCCGUUGCGUGGUGGUGGGGUUGCAGAGGGUGGUGUGGAGGCUCGCGGCGGACCGCACUUCUCCCUUAGUAGGACGUCGUGACCCGUCCGGCUAUGGUCUUAAGGUCGCGAGGUGGAGCCUGUUUGUGGCGUGCUUGCACGUUUUCGAAGAGACCCUCGCGUCCCGGCCAUGGAUGUUUACACACCGGUCGGUAUCAAAUGACAGUGUUCGGCCUCUCUUCGGCGGAGGAAACUCCUGCCAGUGAGCGCGAUUUGACCCUCGACAAGGUGCUGGGAUGAAUCAGUCAAGGCGGGCUUCCGUCCGUCUGACUGCUCUCGGCCCUGUUGGUCGGUGGGGCUUCUCGUUUGGCCUAUUUGCACUCGUCUACGGCGAACCAGUUUUGGGCUCUUGUCCGACCCGUCUUGAAACACGGACCAAGGAGUUCAGCGUGUACGCGAGUCAUUGGGCGUUAAAACCUAAAGGCGUAAUGAAAGUGAAGGAAACUUCUCGUUUCUGAGGGAGGAUGAGGCGGUUACCCGCAAGGGGCCACUCCGCACUCCCGGGGCGUCUCUUUCUCAUUGCGAGUGGAGGCGCACCCAGAGCGUACACGCUGAUACCCGAAAGAUGGUGAACUAUGCCUGGCCAGGACGAAGCCAGGGGAAACCCUGGUGGAGGUCCGCAGCGAUUCUGACGUGCAAAUCGAUCGUCGGAGCUGGGUAUAGGGGCGAAAGACCAAUCGAACCAUCUAGUAGCUGGUUCCCUCCGAAGUUUCCCUCAGGAUAGCUUGCGCUCAUGUGAACGAGUCUCAUCCGGUAGAGCGAAUGAUUAGAGGCCUUGGGGUCGAAACGACCUCAACCUAUUCUCAAACUCCAAAUAGAUGAGAACUCCGGCUUCCUUGAAACAUUUUUCUGAAGCCGGGGGCUCGGAUCAGAGUGCCAAGUGGGCCAAUUUUGGUAAGCAGAACUGGCGCUGUGGGAUGAACCAAACGUCGAGUUAAGGCGCCUAAAUCGUCGCUCAUGUGAAACCAUGAAAGGCGUUGGUUGCUUAAGACAGCAGGACGGUGGCCAUGGAAGUCGGAAUCCGCUAAGGAGUGUGUAACAACUCACCUGCCGAAGCAACUAGCCCUGAAAAUGGAUGGCGCUGUAGCGACGUUGCCUAUACUCGACCGUCAACGGCAAAGAUGGCUAGGCGGGCAACCGCUUGGCCGUUACGCCUUGACGAGUAGGAGGGCCGCGGCGACGUGCGCAGAAGGGUCUGGGCGUGAGCCUGCCUGGAGCCGUCGUCGGUGCAGAUCUUGGUGGUAGUAGCAAAUACUCCAGCGAGGCCCUGGAGGACUGAUGUGGAGAAGGGUUUCUUGUGAACAGCUGUUGCACAAGAGUCAGUCGGUCCUAAGCCCUAGGAGAAAUCCGAAGCGAUGGGUUGCCGUUAAGACUUGAUAAAAAAAUUCUGAAGGCACCCGUUUGGGCGAAAGGGAAUCCGGUUCCUAUUCCGGAACCUGGCAGUGGAACCGUUCCAAUUCGGGCCCUCUGAGGACUCGUCAGGGCAACCUGAAUAGACCCGGAGACGCCGACAGGAGGUUGGGGGAGAGUUGUCUCUUCUCUAUAAGCGAUCGAGUUCCCUGGAAACUUCUAGCAAGGAGAUAGGGUUUGGAUCGCGAAGAGCACUGCAGUUACGGCAGUGUCCCAAUCUUCCUCUCGGACCUUGAAAAUCCGGGUGAGGGCCACGAGGAACCCCACGCCAGACCGUACCCAUAUCCGCAGCAGGUCUCCAAGGUGCAAAGCCUCUAGUCGAUAGAAUAAUGUAGUAGGAAGUCA